GGAGGAGACAGCUAACCUAACGGUAGAAGGAAUGGAAAACAAAGGGGGCAGAAUGGAGGCAGGUGACGAAGGGGUGCUGUGGGCGGGGUGAGGCCCGGCAUGGAUGGAAAGAGGAAGGGGGCCGGCAGUACCGAGUCUGGUCAUGGAUCCAGUUGGAAGAGUGCGGUCACAGCUAGCCGGAGCACCUGCCUGCCCACCCACCCGUAUCCAUACCGUGCGAUCUGAAAUUUCAUCUGCAGAGGGCGAGAUGGCAGUAUAACGUGUUGCUUACAAAUGCAGGCUCUGCAGUGCGAAGAUCUGGGUUAAGAGCCCAUCUCCAUCACACUCUGGCUGGGUUUCUUUAAGGUUUCUCAUUUCCUAAUGUUUCCACUUUGAAAUACAAAUGGCUGUAUUUAAAACGAUGUUAUGUUCAAAUGAUGUGAUGUUAAAGCAUAUGUUAAAAUGAUGAAAUGAAGGGGGAAAAAAGGUGUGUAGGAUGUCCAGGAUACGGUAAGUGUUCUUGAAAUAGGAGGAAGGGAAGGGACAACAAAUCCUGGACAAGCAGAGGGGAGAGGAGGAGAGCACAGGAGGAAGAGGGAGAGCAUGGGAGGGGAAGGCCUGGAUACCUUUGGCCUUCUCGAGCCAUCUGUUAGCAAGCUGUCCCAGGGCGUCCCGGGUGCAGCUUCCCUGGAUGAGCUCAUUCUGAUCUCCUGCGGUCUUGACCCAGAGUCCUGUCCGCUGCAUCUGCCCCACCACGGUCUCCCUCGCGGGUAGGAUCACCUUGACGUGCUACCCACACCCAGAGCUGAGCCCCCACAUACACGGGAGGCUUGGUGGUAAGCUGGCAGGCAGGGAUGGAAGGGGCAGAGGGAAAUGCACGGUCACGCAGGCCGAAGCUGCGCGGUAGAAGGGACGAGCGCUCGUGUCCUCGGCACGUUCAAGGGCUGGGAGACAGCCUCCAGAGACGAGGGCUGGGUCUCCCGCAAGACUGGUGCCUGGGGGACAGGUGGGAAAGAAAACCGCGGAACAGAUAUGGGGAUUUGGGGCUGAACUCACUCCAACCAGGAGAAUCCAAGCCAGAGUGGAAACACACACCUUCGCCCCACCCUGUCUGCAGAGCCAGAACUUCUCUUGCAAACCGAGCAGAAAAGCUCACAUGGAUACCUAAAGAGCCUAAAAGUUGUACGACAA
This 1170-nucleotide long non-coding RNA is filed under the name Felis catus (domestic cat). RNAcentral's name for it is "lncRNA (ENSFCAG00000052079.1)". Lineage: Eukaryota; Metazoa; Chordata; Mammalia; Carnivora; Felidae. The record is from RNAcentral.